Molecule: unclassified non-coding RNA, 173 nt
Filed under: Acaulospora sp.
Lineage: Eukaryota; Fungi; Glomeromycota; Glomeromycetes; Diversisporales; Acaulosporaceae
Description: partial contains small subunit ribosomal RNA, internal transcribed spacer 1, and 5.8S ribosomal RNA
Rfam family: Eukaryotic small subunit ribosomal RNA (bases 1-46)
Source: RNAcentral
AAGUCGUAACAAGGUUUCCGUAGGUGAACCUGCGGAAGGAUCAUUAGAAUAACGGAAGAUUGUUUAAAUCUUUCUAAUAUCUUACUCAAAUCUUAUCCUAUAAAAUUUUUUUUGAAGUAUAAAAAAGACUUAAUAAAUUAUGAUAACUUUCAACAACGGAUCUCUUGGCUCUU